UACAGAGGUGGCAAGCGUUGUUCGGAAUUACUGGGCGUAAAGGGCGCGUAGGCGGCCUUCUAAGUCAGACGUGAAAUCCCCCGGCUUAACCUGGGAACUGCGUCUGAUACUGGGAGGCUUGAGUAUGGGAGAGGGAUGUAGAAUUCCAGGUGUAGCGGUGAAAUGCGUAGAUAUUGGGAGGAACACCAGUGGCGAAGGCGGCUACCUGGACCGGUUCUGACGCUGAGGCGCGAAAGCGUGGGUAGCAAACAGG
RNAcentral lists this ribosomal RNA (253 nucleotides) under uncultured bacterium. Its description in RNAcentral is "partial 16S ribosomal RNA". It matches the Rfam family "Bacterial small subunit ribosomal RNA", at positions 524 to 776 of the family's 1533-position model. The record is from RNAcentral.